AGAAAAAUAAGCUAAAAUAAGCUAUUGAACUCAUAAUUCAAUUAUAAAUUAAUUUUUUUU
Molecule: transfer RNA, 60 nt
Filed under: Phenacoccus manihoti (cassava mealybug)
Lineage: Eukaryota; Metazoa; Arthropoda; Insecta; Hemiptera; Pseudococcidae
Description: tRNA-Met
Source: RNAcentral